GUAAGAGCAUUUGGUGGAUGCCUUGGCAUGUACAGGCGAAGAAGGACGUGGCACGCUGCGAUAAGCGUGGGGGAGUUGUGAGCAAACUUUGAUCCCACGAUGUCCGAAUGGGGAAACCCACCUUCACCAUUUCUUUCAUCAUCCUUUCGGGGAUGGCGAGAGAGGUGGAUAAGGUAUCACCUUAGUGAAUAUAUAGCUUUGGUGAAGCGAACCCG
RNAcentral lists this ribosomal RNA (215 nucleotides) under Prymnesium parvum. RNAcentral's name for it is "partial Bacterial large subunit ribosomal RNA". It matches the Rfam family "Bacterial large subunit ribosomal RNA", at positions 1 to 187 of the family's 2925-position model. The record is from RNAcentral. Lineage: Eukaryota; Haptophyta; Prymnesiales; Prymnesiaceae.